AUUGAACGCUGGCGGUAUGCUUAACACAUGCAAGUCGAACGGUAGCAGGCCUUCGGGCGCUGACGAGUGGCGGACGGGUGAGUAAUGCAUAGGAAUCUGCCUAUUAGUGGGGGAUAACGUGGGGAAACUCACGCUAAUACCGCAUACGAUCUACGGAUGAAAGCUGGGGACCUUCGGGCCUGGCGCUAAUAGAUGAGCCUAUGUCGGAUUAGCUAGUUGGUGGGGUAAAGGCCUACCAAGGCGACGAUCCGUAACUGGUCUGAGAGGAUGAUCAGGCACACUGGAACUGAGACACGGUCCAGACUCCUACGGGAGGCAGCAGUGGGGAAUAUUGGACAAUGGGCGAAAGCCUGAUCCAGCAAUACCGCGUGUGUGAAGAAGGCCUGAGGGUUGUAAAGCACUUUCAAUAGGAAGGAAUACCUGCUGGUUAAUACCCGGCAGACUGACAUUACCUAUACAAGAAGCACCGGCUAACUCCGUGCCAGCAGCCGCCGUAA
This 497-nucleotide ribosomal RNA is filed under the name uncultured bacterium. RNAcentral's name for it is "partial 16S ribosomal RNA". It matches the Rfam family "Bacterial small subunit ribosomal RNA", at positions 30 to 523 of the family's 1533-position model. The record is from RNAcentral.